Molecule: non-coding RNA, 74 nt
Organism: Podarcis lilfordi (Lilford's wall lizard)
Lineage: Eukaryota; Metazoa; Chordata; Lepidosauria; Squamata; Lacertidae
Source: the annotation of a GenBank genome assembly
GCCAGGAUAGCUCAGUUGGUUAGGGUGUGGUGCUGAUGACAUCAAGGUUGCAGGUUUGAUCCCUGCAUGGGACA